GGGAACUCAUGUUGAAGGAGCUCGGGUGGUGCAGUGGGAGUUCGUCCGUCGGGGGAAUUCAGUCAGCACUGUGGGAAUCCGGCUGUUGGAGAAGUCCGAAGAGAUACCAUCUGCGGUCGAAAGCAGGAGGAGUCCUGGGAGGGUCAAUUCUGUCAAGAACUUCGGCUGAGGGUUUUUUAUACCCAACAGCCGCUCUUAGCCGCUCCUCUCUAUUCCACAGGGCACCCUCUACCUUUCGGCCCAUCUGUCCCUGAUAAAAAGUCCAAAUCCCAGAUCGAAAAUAGGGCUUCAAAAAGGACUCAACUAUCAUUUCUAGCCGUUGGAUCUUUACAGAC
This 335-nucleotide long non-coding RNA is filed under the name Elaeis guineensis (African oil palm). RNAcentral describes it as "long non-coding RNA (EGUI_LNC081968)". The record is from RNAcentral. Lineage: Eukaryota; Viridiplantae; Streptophyta; Magnoliopsida; Arecales; Arecaceae.